ACUCCGGGGAUAACAGGCUGAUUCCGCCCAAGAGUCCAUAUCGACGGCGGAGUUUGGCACCUCGAUGUCGGCUCAUCACAUCCUGGGGCUGUAGUCGGUCCCAAGGGUAUGGCUGUUCGCCAUUUAAAGUGGUACGUGAGCUGGGUUUAAAACGUCGUGAGACAGUUUGGUCCCUAUCUGCAGUGGGCGUUGGAAGUUUGACGGGGGCUGCUCCUAGUACGAGAGGACCGGAGUGGACGAACCUCUGGUGUACCGGUUGUGACGCCAGUCGCAUCGCCGGGUAGCUAAGUUCGGAAGAGAUAAGCGCUGAAAGCAUCUAAGCGCGAAACUCGCCUGAAGAUGAGACUUCCCUGAGGAUUUAAUCCUCCUAAAGAGUCGUUCGAGACCAGGACGUUGAUAGGCAGGGUGUGGAAGCACGGUAACGUGUGAAGCUAACCUGUACUAAUUGCUCGUGAGGCUUGACUCU
Molecule: ribosomal RNA, 466 nt
Filed under: human metagenome
Description: bacterial LSU rRNA
Rfam family: Bacterial large subunit ribosomal RNA
Source: RNAcentral